Molecule: microRNA, 23 nt
Filed under: Parasteatoda tepidariorum (common house spider)
Lineage: Eukaryota; Metazoa; Arthropoda; Arachnida; Araneae; Theridiidae
Description: pte-miR-14-3p
Gene: pte-miR-14-3p
Source: miRBase by way of RNAcentral
UCAGUCUUUUGAAUCUCUCCCCG